CUGCAAAGUAAUUUUUACAUUUAGUUUCGACCUAAAACCCUGGGAUUAUUAUAAUACCCUGCAUG
Molecule: transfer RNA, 65 nt
Filed under: Pseudomyrmex ferrugineus
Lineage: Eukaryota; Metazoa; Arthropoda; Insecta; Hymenoptera; Formicidae
Description: tRNA-Arg
Source: RNAcentral